UUUUGAAUAUGGGUUCACACGUGGCUGUUAGAUGAGAUAUGAACCGUGAAAUGCAGUUCAAUCUACCUAAGAAACCACGAACCUCUUUUUCUGUUCUCGGUUCAGGCAUUUUCUUGUAUGGCUUCUUUUCUUUUUUCUCUUAUUUUUUUUUACAGGAUCAACCUCGAUUCCCUUUUUUACUCACCAUAAGCCUCAGCAACUUACCAGACCGCACUCCGAAAGUGCACUUAUUCGGAUUCAACCUCAGUUUGAAUUGUCUCAGCUAGUCAAAUAGCUUGGCCAGAUCUUCCAGAUGCCCCUCUUCUGUUUGGGACUGUUAGGUAUUUUCACUCACUUGCAG
RNAcentral lists this long non-coding RNA (340 nucleotides) under Lathyrus oleraceus (garden pea). Its description in RNAcentral is "Pisum sativum (pea) long non-coding RNA (PSAT_LNC015875)". The record is from RNAcentral. Lineage: Eukaryota; Viridiplantae; Streptophyta; Magnoliopsida; Fabales; Fabaceae.